GACGAACGCUGGCGGCGUGCUUAACACAUGCAAGUCGAACGGAAAGGCCCUGCUUUUUUGUGGUGCUCGAGUGGCGAACGGGUGAGUAACACGUGAGUAACCUUCCCUUGACUUUGGGAUAACUUCAGGCAACUGGGGCUAAUACCGGAUAUGAGCUCCUGCUGCAUGGUGGGGGUUGGAAAGUUUCGGCGGAUGGGGAUGGACUCGCGGCUUAUCAGCUUGUUGGUGGGGUAGUGGCUUACCAAGGCUUUGACGGGUAGCCGGCCUGAGAGGGUGACCGGCCACAUUGGGACUGAGAUACGGCCCAGACUCCUACGGGAGGCAGCAGGGGGGAAUAUUGCACAAUGGGCGGAAGCCUGAUGCAGCAACGCCGCGUGCGGGAUGAAGGCCUUCGGGUUGGAAACCGCUUUCGCCUGUGACGAAGCGUGAGUGACGGUAAUGGGUAAAGAAGCACCGGCUAACUACGUG
This 468-nucleotide ribosomal RNA is filed under the name uncultured bacterium. RNAcentral describes it as "partial 16S ribosomal RNA". It matches the Rfam family "Bacterial small subunit ribosomal RNA", at positions 28 to 507 of the family's 1533-position model. The record is from RNAcentral.